Molecule: ribosomal RNA, 261 nt
Filed under: uncultured bacterium
Lineage: Bacteria
Description: partial 16S ribosomal RNA
Rfam family: Bacterial small subunit ribosomal RNA
Source: RNAcentral
CGCACGGGUGAGUAACACGUAUGCAAACCUGGGCCCGGCCACAGGGGGAUAACCCGCGGAAACGCGGCCUAAUACCCCGUGACGCCACCGGAGGGCAUCCUCCGGUGGCCAAAGGAGCGAUCCGGUGGCGGAUGGGCAUGCGGCGCAUUAGCUAGACGGCGGGGUGACGGCCCACCGUGGCGACGAUGCGUAGGGGUUCUGAGAGGAAGGCCCCCCACACUGGGACUGAGACACGGCCCAGACUCCUACGGGAGGCAGCAG